Molecule: ribosomal RNA, 497 nt
Filed under: uncultured bacterium
Lineage: Bacteria
Description: partial 16S ribosomal RNA
Rfam family: Bacterial small subunit ribosomal RNA
Source: RNAcentral
GACGAACGCUGGCGGCGUGCCUAAUACAUGCCAGUUGAGCGAUGAAGAUUGGUGCUUGCACCAAUUUGAAGAGCAGCGAACGGGUGAGUAACGCGUGGGGAAUCUGCCUUUGAGCGGGGGACAACAUUUGGAAACGAAUGCUAAUACCGCAUAACAACUUUAAACAUAAGUUUUAAGUUUGAAAGUUGCAAUUGCAUCACUCAAAGAUGAUCCCGCGUUGUAUUAGCUAGUUGGUGAGGUAAAGGCUCACCAAGGCGAUGAUACAUAGCCGACCUGAGAGGGUGAUCGGCCACAUUGGGACUGAGACACGGCCCAAACUCCUACGGGAGGCAGCAGUAGGGAAUCUUCGGCAAUGGACGAAAGUCUGACCGAGCAACGCCGCGUGAGGGAAGAAGGUUUUCGGAUCGUAAAACUCUGUUGGUAGAGAAGAACGUUGGUGAGAGUGGAAAGCUCAUCAAGUGACGGUAACUACCCAGAAAGGGACGGCUAACUACGUG